GAGAACGAGUUCCAUGUCUUGCCUAAGAAGCCAAAAGCAGAUUAACACUCAUUUCUUUUUCAAGAUUUUAAUAGCAUUCUUCUACAAGUGAUUACUCCAGCAAAAUCAGCAGAAGUAACUAGAAAAUUAAUCAGAAAAGAAGCCCCCCCAAGGUGAUGAAGGAAAAUCAAAUAACCAAUAAAACAGAAUGUGACAGUGACAAUACAAA
This 208-nucleotide unclassified non-coding RNA is filed under the name Hevea brasiliensis (rubber tree). Lineage: Eukaryota; Viridiplantae; Streptophyta; Magnoliopsida; Malpighiales; Euphorbiaceae. The record is from RNAcentral.